UGGGGAAUAUUGGACAAUGGGCGCAAGCCUGAUCCAGCCAUGCCGCGUGUGUGAAGAAGGCCUUUUGGUUGUAAAGCACUUUAAGCGAGGAGGAGGCUACUUGGAUUAAUACUCUAGGAUAGUGGACGUUACUCGCAGAAUAAGCACCGGCUAACUCUGUGCCAGCAGCCGCGGUAAUACAGAGGGUGCGAGCGUUAAUCGGAUUUACUGGGCGUAAAGCGUGCGUAGGCGGCUUCUUAAGUCGGAUGUGAAAUCCCUGAGCUUAACUUAGGAAUUGCAUUCAAUACUGGGAAGCUAGAGUAUGGGAGAGGAUGGUAGAAUUCCAGGUGUAGCGGUGAAAUGCGUAGAGAUCUGGAGGAAUACCGAUGGCGAAGGCAGCCAUCUGGCCUAAUACUGACGCUGGGGUACGAAAGCAUGGGGGGCAAACAGG
RNAcentral lists this ribosomal RNA (430 nucleotides) under Acidobacteriota bacterium. Its description in RNAcentral is "Acidobacteria bacterium partial 16S ribosomal RNA". It matches the Rfam family "Bacterial small subunit ribosomal RNA", at positions 355 to 776 of the family's 1533-position model. The record is from RNAcentral. Lineage: Bacteria; Pseudomonadati; Acidobacteriota.